GAAGGUGGAUCAUUUGUUUAUUGGCGAUAUAUGUACCAAGUACAAAAGUGGUAGAACAACAGUUGAUGUCAAAGUUGAUUCCAGUUCAAAUGUCUCAACUGCUGUUACUGUUGAUGAAAUAAUGCCUGGUGCCAAGGCUUCCUUGAGCUUCAAAAUUCCAGAUCAAAUGUCUGGCAAGAUUGAUGUGCAAUACCUCCAUGACCAUGCAGCUAUUAACUCUAGCAUUGGCUUGACACCUACUCCUUUGCUAGAGUUU
Molecule: unclassified non-coding RNA, 256 nt
Filed under: Hevea brasiliensis (rubber tree)
Lineage: Eukaryota; Viridiplantae; Streptophyta; Magnoliopsida; Malpighiales; Euphorbiaceae
Source: RNAcentral